Molecule: unclassified non-coding RNA, 335 nt
Filed under: soil metagenome
Description: partial contains 5.8S ribosomal RNA, internal transcribed spacer 2, and large subunit ribosomal RNA
Rfam family: 5.8S ribosomal RNA (bases 1-119)
Source: RNAcentral
GAUGAAGAAUGUAGCGAAAUGCGAUAAGUAAUGUGAAUUGCAGAAUUCCGUGAAUCAUCGAAUCUUUGAACGCACAUUGCGCCCCCUGGUACUCCGGGGGCAUGCCUGUCCGAGCGUCAUUGCAACCUUCAAGCGCGGCUUGUGUGUUGGGUCUCGUCCCCCGUGGACGGGCCCGAAAGGCAGUGGCGGCGUCCCGACAUGGUGCCCGAGCGUAUGGGAAUCCUCUUCCGCUCGAAUCGGCCCAUGCGGCGCUGGUCGUAACCAAAUUUUUUACCGGUUGACCUCGGAUCAGGUAGGGAUACCCGCUGAACUUAAGCAUAUCAAUAAGCGGAGGA